GGCAGACAGGGGAGAUGGCAGACAGGGGAGAUGGCAGGUGAAGAGAGGGGUGGAGGGAGGAGAUGGCAGACAGGGGAGAUGGCAGACAGAGGAGAUGGCAGGUGAAGAGAGGGGUGGAGGGAGGAGAUGGCAGACAGGGGAGAUGGCAGACAGAGGAGAUGGCAGGUGAAGAGAGGGGUGGAGGGAGGAGAUGGCAGACAGGGGAGAUGGCAGGUGAAG
Oncorhynchus kisutch (coho salmon) is the source of this 219-nucleotide long non-coding RNA. RefSeq lists it as uncharacterized. NCBI's taxonomy places the organism in Eukaryota, Metazoa, Chordata, Actinopteri, Salmoniformes, Salmonidae. The transcript is spliced from 3 exons. The record is from RefSeq and is a predicted model, not a curated record.